GAACAUCUCCCCGACCUACUCAUAACAUAUAUACAUAUAUAUACAAGAUGUACAUAAGGCUCUAGACCCGAAAACUCCGAAAGGCAUGGAGCUUACCGAUCAAGCUGAACUCGGGCAACACUUAUUGAGGAGGCCUACCCAUCUGUCUAUCUGACCUGUACGCAUGAAAUGCAGCACCCCCAGAAAAGAGACGUCAGUACGAAAUAAUGUACUGAGUAUGUAAGGCAAUAUACUGAAAGCUAAAACUGAACUGAUAAUAUAAUAACUGCAAGUAGCUGGAAGUCAAAGAUAAUCUGAAGAUAUGCUUACAUGCUGAUACUGACUCAACUCUCUCAAUAUAGUAAGUAAAAUAGUUGUCCGGACCUAUAAGGCUCGGUAUACAUAUAUAUAUCUACUUUGCCAUAGUAGGCUCGCUCAUAAACGCUCGGCCAUACUAGGCUCUGUAUAUCGACCAACUGGGCUCGCUCAUAGGCGCUCAGCCACAGUAGGCUCGGUGUAUAACUUACCAUCUGAUCAGAAGUUGUCCAAUAGGGUCCUCAUUAUCGAUUAUAGCUCGAUGGUAAUGAAAAUACUUUUAAUACUGUAUAUAUGUAAAUUCUCUGCCCUCUUGACUGGGAGAAGAAAUACUCAAUUGAAUAUGAAGUCCCAUAAAGGAUAAUAUUGUAACUUACAAGACUAGAAAAAUAUAUGUAAUUUGCGAGACUAGCUAAAUAUAAGUAAAUUCUGGGAUAUGAAUUUUUCUUUAUGGCUCAUUAAUAAAAUUGUGUAAUGACGAGAUCAUCAAAAUGGAAUAAGUGCUUAGCCUUAACAUACCUGGAGUAGGAAAAACUCCAUGUAAUAUUUCAUUGGAAACCUUCGUGGAUUGAACUUAGAACCUAAAAAUCGGAUUAAGCUUCUGCGCUUUGAAAUUGAGGAACGAAAUCUUGCUUUUUUUGUUGAAAUUUGGACGACAAUUGCUUUAAAUGAAAGCUUUCGUUUGGAAUUCCCAAGAAGCAAUUUCGUUUGAAAUGCUUCUGCUUUCAACGUUGUUCUUG
RNAcentral lists this long non-coding RNA (1034 nucleotides) under Nicotiana tabacum (common tobacco). RNAcentral's name for it is "long non-coding RNA (NTAB_LNC005366)". Lineage: Eukaryota; Viridiplantae; Streptophyta; Magnoliopsida; Solanales; Solanaceae. The record is from RNAcentral.